Molecule: long non-coding RNA, 411 nt
Filed under: Homo sapiens (human)
Lineage: Eukaryota; Metazoa; Chordata; Mammalia; Primates; Hominidae
Description: HSALNT0297037
Source: RNAcentral
AGACCACCCACAUUUGCACAGAUGCUGCUGCUAUAGUACUUUCAGGCAAGGCCAAGGCUUCUUGAAAGGCUGGUCAUGCCCCAGUGAUCAAUGAAGAACUCAGGGAUAUCCCAAAACUCAGGACUAUAAGGCACAAUGGGGGAGCAGGUACCAGGUGGCCAGCAUCCUAAAUGACUCUCAGCAGCUGCAGAGAAGAAAGAGGCAUUACCAUAUCAAAGCCUUUAGCCUUCUUGCAUCACGACAAAAAUUCGAACUUGGUGUUUGAAGAACAUGAAAAAUGAGGAGGAAUAAAAUAAUCAUGAGUCUCCUGGUCAUUAACUGCAUGAAGUUGAGCUGGUCACUUAAGCCAUUCCUAAUAUGUAACUUGAGAGUAUAGUAUUAGAUAUUCAGUAAAUUCCCUUCAAAAUUCAU